Molecule: ribosomal RNA, 496 nt
Filed under: uncultured bacterium
Lineage: Bacteria
Description: partial 16S ribosomal RNA
Rfam family: Bacterial small subunit ribosomal RNA
Source: RNAcentral
GAUGAACGCUGGCGGCGUGCCUAAUACAUGCAAGUCGAGCGAACAGAUGAGGAGCUUGCUCCUCUGACGUUAGCGGCGGACGGGUGAGUAACACGUGGAUAACGUACCUAUAAGACUGGGAUAACUUCGGGAAACCGGAGCUAAUACCGGAUAAUAUAUUGAACCGCAUGGUUCAAUAGUGAAAGACGGUUUUGCUGUCACUUAUAGAUGGAUCCGCGCCGCAUUAGCUAGUUGGUAAGGUAACGGCUUACCAAGGCAACGAUGCGUAGCCGACCUGAGAGGGUGAUCGGCCACACUGGAACUGAGACACGGUCCAGACUCCUACGGGAGGCAGCAGUAGGGAAUCUUCCGCAAUGGGCGAAAGCCUGACGGAGCAACGCCGCGUGAGUGAUGAAGGUCUUCGGAUCGUAAAACUCUGUUAUUAGGGAAGAACAAAUGUGUAAGUAACUAUGCACGUCUUGACGGUACCUAAUCAGAAAGCCACGGCUAACUACGU